UGCAGUCGNNCGGCAGCAAGGAGCUUGCUCUGGUGGCGAGUGGCGAACGGGUGAGUAAUGCGUCGGAACGUAUCCAAUAAUGGGGGAUAACGCAGCGAAAGCUGUGCUAAUACCGCAUACGCCCUCCGGGGGAAAGCAGGGGAUCGUAAGACCUUGCGUUAAUGGAGCGGCCGACGUCUGAUUAGCUAGUUGGUAGGGUAAAGGCCUACCAAGGCGACGAUCAGUGGCUGGUCUGAGAGGAUGAUCAGCCACACUGGGACUGAGACACGGCCCAGACUCCUACGGGAGGCAGCAGUGGGGAAUUUUGGACAAUGGGCGCAAGCCUGAUCCAGCCAUUCCGCGUGAGUGAAGAAGGCCUUCGGGCUGUAAAGCUCUUUCAGGAGGGAAGAAACGAUUGUGGCUAAUACCCAUGAUUAAUGACGGUACCUUCAGAAGAAGCACCGGCUAACUACGUGCCAGCAGCCGCGGUAAUACGUAGGGUGCGAGCGUUAAUCGGAAUUACUGGGCGUAAAGCGUGCGCAGGCGGUUUUUCAAGUCUGAUGUGAAAUCCCCGGGCUUAACCUGGGAACUGCGUUGGAAACUGAAAGACUAGAGUGCGGCAGAGGGGGGUAGAAUUCCACGUGUAGCAGUGAAAUGCGUAGAUAUGUGGAGGAAUACCGAUGGCGAAGGCAGCCCCCUGGGUCGACACUGACGCUCAUGCACGAAAGCGUGGGUAGCAAACAGGAUUAGAUACCCUGGUAGUCCACGCCCUAAACGAUGUCAACUAGUUGUUGGGGAGGGAGANCUCCUUAGUAACGCAGCUAACGCGUGAAGUUGACCGCCUGGGGAGUACGGUCGCAAGAUUAAAACUCAAAGGAAUUGACGGGGGCCCGCACAAGCGGUGGAUUAUGUGGAUUANUUC
RNAcentral lists this ribosomal RNA (901 nucleotides) under uncultured bacterium. RNAcentral describes it as "bacterial SSU rRNA". It matches the Rfam family "Bacterial small subunit ribosomal RNA", at positions 56 to 952 of the family's 1533-position model. The record is from RNAcentral.